GAUGAACGCUGGCGGCGUGCCUAAUACAUGCAAGUCGAGCGAACAGACGAGGAGCUUGCUCCUUUGACGUUAGCGGCGGACGGGUGAGUAACACGUGGGUAACCUACCUAUAAGACUGGGAUAACUUCGGGAAACCGGAGCUAAUACCGGAUAAUAUUUCGAACCGCAUGGUUCGAUAGUGAAAGAUGGCUUUGCUAUCACUUAUAGAUGGACCUGCGCCGUAUUAGCUAGUUGGUAAGGUAACGGCUUACCAAGGCAACGAUACGUAGCCGACCUGAGAGGGUGAUCGGCCACACUGGAACUGAGACACGGUCCAGACUCCUACGGGAGGCAGCAGUAGGGAAUCUUCCGCAAUGGGCGAAAGCCUGACGGAGCAACGCCGCGUGAGUGAUGAAGGUCUUCGGAUCGUAAAACUCUGUUAUUAGGAAAGAACAAACGUGUAAGUAACUAUGCACGUCUUGACGGUACCUAAUCAGAAAGCCACGGCUAACUACGUG
Molecule: ribosomal RNA, 497 nt
Filed under: uncultured bacterium
Lineage: Bacteria
Description: partial 16S ribosomal RNA
Rfam family: Bacterial small subunit ribosomal RNA
Source: RNAcentral